This is a non-coding RNA of Flammula alnicola, 103 nucleotides long. The record is from the annotation of a GenBank genome assembly. NCBI's taxonomy places the organism in Eukaryota, Fungi, Basidiomycota, Agaricomycetes, Agaricales, Strophariaceae.
GCCUCCUUGGCUCAGUUGGUUAGAGCGCAGGUCUCAUAGCAAUAUGAGUAACUAAGCAAGUUACGUAAUCCUGAGGUCGCAAGUUCGACCCUUGCAGGGGGCA